UGGGGAAUUUUGGACAAUGGGGGAAACCCUGAUCCAGCCAUCCCGCGUGUGCGAUGAAGGCCUUCGGGUUGUAAAGCACUUUUGGCAGGAAAGAAACGUCAUGGGUUAAUACCCCGUGAAACUGACGGUACCUGCAGAAUAAGCACCGGCUAACUACGUGCCAGCAGCCGCGGUAAUACGUAGGGUGCAAGCGUUAAUCGGAAUUACUGGACGUAAAGCGUGCGCAGGCGGUUCGGAAAGAAAGAUGUGAAAUCCCAGAGCUUAACUUUGGAACUGCAUUUUUAACUACCGGGCUAGAGUGUGUCAGAGGGAGGUGGAAUUCCGCGUGUAGCAGUGAAAUGCGUAGAUAUGCGGAGGAACACCGAUGGCGAAGGCAGCCUCCUGGGAUAACACUGACGCUCAUGCACGAAAGCGUGGGGAGCAAACA
This 427-nucleotide ribosomal RNA is filed under the name uncultured bacterium. RNAcentral describes it as "partial 16S ribosomal RNA". It matches the Rfam family "Bacterial small subunit ribosomal RNA", at positions 355 to 774 of the family's 1533-position model. The record is from RNAcentral.